GACCUCUUAGCUCAGUGGUAGAGCGUGAGAUUCCAGCUCUAUUUGGAAGCUCCUCAAGGUCAUCCGUUCAACUCGGGUAGGGGUCA
RNAcentral lists this transfer RNA (86 nucleotides) under Rhizoctonia solani AG-1 IB. It matches the Rfam family "tRNA". Rfam says of the family: Transfer RNA (tRNA) molecules are approximately 80 nucleotides in length. Their secondary structure includes four short double-helical elements and three loops (D, anti-codon, and T loops). Lineage: Eukaryota; Fungi; Basidiomycota; Agaricomycetes; Cantharellales; Ceratobasidiaceae. The record is from Rfam by way of RNAcentral.